This 173-nucleotide ribosomal RNA is filed under the name uncultured bacterium. Its description in RNAcentral is "partial 16S ribosomal RNA". It matches the Rfam family "Bacterial small subunit ribosomal RNA", at positions 338 to 525 of the family's 1533-position model. The record is from RNAcentral.
CCUACGGGAGGCAGCAGUGCGGAAUAUUGCACAAUGGGCGCAAGCCUGAUGCAGCACGCCGCGUGAGGGACGAAGGCCUUCGGGUUGUAAACCUCUUUUAGCAGGGAAGAAGCUAAGUGACGGUACCUGCAGAAAAAGCACCGGCUAACUACGUGCCAGCAGCCGCGGUAAUA